GAUGAACGCUGGCGGCGUGCCUAAUACAUGCAAGUCGAGCGAACAGACGAGGAGCUUGCUCCUCUGACGUUAGCGGCGGACGGGUGAGUAACACGUGGAUAACCUACCUAUAAGACUGGGAUAACUUCGGGAAACCGGAGCUAAUACCGGAUAAUAUAUUGAACCGCAUGGUUCAAUAGUGAAAGACGGUUUUGCUGUCACUUAUAGAUGGAUCCGCGCCGCAUUAGCUAGUUGGUAAGGUAACGGCUUACCAAGGCAACGAUGCGUAGCCGACCUGAGAGGGUGAUCGGCCACACUGGAACUGGGACACGGUCCAGACUCCCACGGGAGGCAGGAGUAGGGAAUCUUCCGCGAUGGGCGAAAGCCUGACGGAGCAACGCCGCGUGAGUGAUGAAGGUCUUCGGAUCGUAAAACUGUGUUAUUAGGGAAGAACAAAUGUGUAAGUAACUAUGCACGUCUUGACGGUACCUAAUCAGAAAGCCACGGCUAACUACGUG
Molecule: ribosomal RNA, 497 nt
Filed under: uncultured bacterium
Lineage: Bacteria
Description: partial 16S ribosomal RNA
Rfam family: Bacterial small subunit ribosomal RNA
Source: RNAcentral